Phrynosoma platyrhinos (Desert horned lizard) is the source of this 70-nucleotide non-coding RNA. Lineage: Eukaryota; Metazoa; Chordata; Lepidosauria; Squamata; Phrynosomatidae. The record is from the annotation of a GenBank genome assembly.
GCCAGCGUGGCAGAGCGGUUUGAGCAUUGGACUACAACUCUGGAGACCAGGGUUCGAUUCCUGCUUGGCC